CCGAAAUUUAAAACUCACAACGCGAGUCUCGUGCGGAAGCAAAUAUGACUGCCGAGACUAUGUGACUCUUCAAGUCUUCCUUUGCUCAAAGUCAAACCACACUCGUGAAGCACAUGUGACGAGUCUGUGGUGAGCAUCGGGAGCACUGCGUUUCCUUCGGGAUUCACAGUCUAAAAAACGAAUUGUAAAAGUAUAUAUAUAAACAAAAAAAGACGAAAAAAU
Molecule: unclassified non-coding RNA, 222 nt
Filed under: soil metagenome
Description: partial internal transcribed spacer 1
Source: RNAcentral